Molecule: ribosomal RNA, 253 nt
Filed under: uncultured bacterium
Lineage: Bacteria
Description: partial 16S ribosomal RNA
Rfam family: Bacterial small subunit ribosomal RNA
Source: RNAcentral
UACGAAGGGGGCUAGCGUUGUUCGGAUUUACUGGGCGUAAAGCGCACGUAGGCGGAUCUUUAAGUCAGAGGUGAAAUCCCAAGGCUCAACCUUGGAACUGCCUUUGAUACUGGGGAUCUUGAGUCCGGGAGAGGUGAGUGGAACUGCGAGUGUAGAGGUGAAAUUCGUAGAUAUUCGCAAGAACACCAGUGGCGAAGGCGGCUCACUGGCCCGGUACUGACGCUGAGGUGCGAAAGCCAGGGGAGCAAACGGG